Long non-coding RNA from Gopherus flavomarginatus (Mexican gopher tortoise), 2178 nucleotides. RefSeq lists it as uncharacterized. The transcript is spliced from 3 exons. Lineage: Eukaryota; Metazoa; Chordata; Testudines; Testudinidae. The record is from RefSeq and is a predicted model, not a curated record.
GGUUUAGGUUACAAUUGCUCUAAUUUUGAAACUUUGUUCAUACAGAUACUUUUUAGUUACACCACAAGGUCCAAAUUCUGCAGGGGCGCAUGAGCACAGGUCCCACUGAAGUCAAUGGAAGCCUUGCGUGCAUCUUGCAUUGUUUUCCAUACUUAGAACUUGAGUUAGCUGGCUGAAGCUCAAUCCAGAAAAGAAAGAGGGUAUCCUGGUUGGUUGAAGACCUAUCUGGAAGAGAUGGCAGAUAUUAUAACUGACCCCUUCAACUAAGAGGCUGCUGCCAUUGCAGCCUUGAGGAGUUUCCCCUCCACACUUGUGGAAUGCCUGAACCAGAUAAGGAGAAGAAAGAAGAGGACUUGGGAAGACAUAGUCGGUGAGAUUCAGCAAGUCAGUGAUGCAUCAGAUCAUGACCAGAGGGCCCGGAGGAUGAAUACUGCAGACUGUAUGGAGGAGGAAAGAGUGGACAGGAGAAAUCCCUAGGAGAACCAGCAGGAAAAUGAGAGGGAGAUGCACCAAGAUAUAAUGGGCUUCUUUGGCUGAAAACACAGAUGCUGCAGAUUCUUGUGGAUUUACAGGUUCAACAAUCAUGGGCUAGCAUUCCUUUGCAGCCCAUGGAGAACUCCAGUAUAGCACCUCACUACACCCCGCCUCAACCUUCCAUGUGGGAUCAGGGGCUACAUUCCUACCCCUGCCACUACACUCAGGGGGACAUUAAGGACAACCACAGCUUUACAUAUACUGACCUGUGAGAGCCACAGCUAACGUAUGUGUAGCUAAAAUGGAUAUGAAUGGUCCUUCCCCUUCUUUAACCUCAGUUCCAUACAUUUAUUAAGGUUCUAAAGUAUUUGCUUUUAACUUGCACAGAAUUUAUUUUGAAGUAAUUACAUUACUCGAUGAAACUCUAUUGUUUGGGAAAUAAUUUAUGUUUAUUAGUUCCCAAUAUAUGUUGCAGAAUGCCUAGCAGUAGUGAACCCACCUACUUUCUUGCUACUGUACAAUGUGACAACUCAUAGGAUCAGUGACAAAACCAUGUAAUAAUCAUAAAUGUACACCAAACACCACAAAAUUAAUAGGUGCAUUAUCAGUGUCAUAUUCUUAGAUGUACUUCAAGCAUCACACAAUUCAUAACGGGCCCCCAAACAGCAGGGCCACGUACAGCACAGUACACCACAACACAUUACUAUAGCUCACUGGUAGUGUUCUUUCAAUGCCUCCCUGAGCCAUAUAGCUCUGUAUUGAGCUUGUAUAAUAGCCCUUGUGUGCCUAUUCAAACUCAGCAGACAGCCACUCCACCUUAACCCCAUGGCAACUUUCCUCUCUUUGCUUCAGACAUUAUAUAGGACACAACAGGCAGCUAUAACCAUUGGGAUAUUUUUCUCAAUCCAAGCCAACCUUGUGACUAAGUAACACCAGCACCCCUUUAAUCUACCAAAAGCGUGUUUAACAUUCUUCAUCUGCUACACCAGCAGUUGAAUAUUUCCUUGGUGCUGUUGAGGUGCUGGUAUACAGCUUCGUGAGCCAGAGGAAUAAGGAGUAGGCUGGGUCCCCCAGGAUCACUAUUGGCAUUUCAACAUCGCCAAUGGUAAUCUAUUGGUUAGCAAAGAAAGUCCAUGCUUAUAGCUUUCUGAACUGGCCUGUGUUCUUAAAGAUACAAGCGUCAUGCACUUUGCUUGACCAGCCAACUUUUAUGUUAAUGAAGCAUCCCCAGUGAUCCACCAGUGCUCAUGUAACCAUAGAAAAGUAGCCCUUUUGUUGAUGUACUUGCUGGCAAGGUGGUCUGGUGCCAAAAUAGGAAUAUGCUUCACGCAGUUUGGGAAUCCCAUUCCUGCAAAUCCAUCCAAUACAAUCCACACAUUGCCAAGAAUCACCAUCCUACAUAGCAAGAGAUAGACUCAUAGACUCUAGGACUGGAAGGGACCGAGAGGUCAUCGAGUCCAGUCCCCUGCCCUCAUGGCAGGACCAAAUACUGUCUAGACCAUCCCUAAUAGACAUUUAUCUAACCUACUCUUAAAUAUCUCCAGAGAUGGAGAUUCCACAACUUCCCUAGGCAAUCUAUUCCAGUGUUUAACGACCCUGACAGAUAGGAACUUUUUCUUAAUGUCCAAUCUAAAUCUCCCUUGCUGAUUAAUGGCUCUGCAAACUUGCAUCACAACAGUCCCCCCCAGUGGAUUUUCCAAUUCC